Molecule: ribosomal RNA, 256 nt
Filed under: uncultured bacterium
Lineage: Bacteria
Description: partial 16S ribosomal RNA
Rfam family: Bacterial small subunit ribosomal RNA
Source: RNAcentral
UACAGAGGGGCCGAGCGUUAUUCGGAAUUAUUGGGCGUAAAGGGCGCGUAGGCGGCCAUGCGUGUCUUCCGUGAAAUCCCUCGGCUUAACUGAGGACGUGCGGAAGAAACUGCAAGGCUCGAGUCCGGGAGAGGGGGGGUGGAAUUCCCAGUGUAGCGGUGAAAUGCGUAGAUAUUGGGAGGAACACCGGUGGCGAAGGCGGCCCCCUGGACCGGUACUGACGCUGAGGCGCGAAAAGCGGUGGGUAGCAAACGGG